AGAGUUUGAUCCUGGCUCAGGACGAACGCUGGCGGCGUGCCUAAUACAUGCAAGUCGGGCGGAUCUGAGGGAGCUUGCUCCCAAAGAUUAGCGGCGGACGGGUGAGUAACACGUGGGCAACCUGCCUGUAAGACUGGGAUAACUUCGGGAAACCGGAGCUAAUACCGGAUAAUCCUUUUCCUUACAUGAGGAAAAGCUGAAAGAUGGUUUCGGCUAUCACUUACAGAUGGGCCCGCGGCGCAUUAGCUAGUUGGUGAGGUAACGGCUCACCAAGGCAACGAUGCGUAGCCGACCUGAGAGGGUGAUCGGCCGCACUGGGACUGAGACACGGCCCAGACUCCUACGGGAGGCAGCAGUAGGGAAUCUUCCGCAAUGGACGAAAGUCUGACGGAGCAACGCCGCGUGAGUGAUGAAGGUUUUCGGAUCGUAAAACUCUGUUGUUAGGGAAGAACAAGUACCGGAGUAACUGCCGGUACCUUGACGGUACCUAACCAGAAAGCCACGGCUAACUACGUGCCAGCAGCCGCGGUAAUACGUAGGUGGCAAGCGUUGUCCGGAAUUAUUGGGCGUAAAGCGCGCGCAGGUGGUUUCUUAAGUCUGAUGUGAAAGCCCCCGGCUCAACCGGGGAGGGUCAUUGGAAACUGGGAGACUUGAGUGCAGAAGAGGAAAGUGGAAUUCCAAGUGUAGCGGUGAAAUGCGUAGAGAUUUGGAGGAACACCAGUGGCGAAGGCGACUUUCUGGUCUGUAACUGACACUGAGGCGCGAAAGCGUGGGGAGCGAACAGGAUUAGAUACCCUGGUAGUCCACGCCGUAAACGAUGAGUGCUAAGUGUUAGGGGGUUUCCGCCCCUUAGUGCUGCAGCUAACGCAUUAAGCACUCCGCCUGGGGAGUACGGCCGCAAGGCUGAAACUCAAAGGAAUUGACGGGGGCCCGCACAAGCGGUGGAGCAUGUGGUUUAAUUCGAAGCAACGCGAAGAACCUUACCAGGUCUUGACAUCCUCUGACAAUCCUAGAGAUAGGACGUUCCCCUUCGGGGGACAGAGUGACAGGUGGUGCAUGGUUGUCGUCAGCUCGUGUCGUGAGAUGUUGGGUUAAGUCCCGCAACGAGCGCAACCCUUGAUCUUAGUUGCCAGCAUUCAGUUGGGCACUCUAAGGUGACUGCCGGUGACAAACCGGAGGAAGGUGGGGAUGACGUCAAAUCAUCAUGCCCCUUAUGACCUGGGCUACACACGUGCUACAAUGGAUGGUACAAAGGGCUGCAAGACCGCGAGGUUUAGCCAAUCCCAUAAAACCAUUCUCAGUUCGGAUUGUAGGCUGCAACUCGCCUACAUGAAGCCGGAAUCGCUAGUAAUCGCGGAUCAGCAUGCCGCGGUGAAUACGUUCCCGGGCCUUGUACACACCGCCCGUCACACCACGAGAGUUUGUAACACCCGAAGUCGGUGGGGUAACCUUUUGGAGCCAGCCGCCUAAGGUGGGACAGAUGAUUGGGGUGAAGUCGUAACAAGGUAACCAAUCUCUAGAG
This 1522-nucleotide ribosomal RNA is filed under the name Bacillus sp. SEP-2. RNAcentral's name for it is "bacterial SSU rRNA". It matches the Rfam family "Bacterial small subunit ribosomal RNA". Lineage: Bacteria; Bacillati; Bacillota; Bacilli; Caryophanales; Bacillaceae. The record is from RNAcentral.